GACGAACGCUGGCGGCGUGCUUAACACAUGCAAGUCGAACGAAGAGCGAUGGAAGCUUGCUUCUAUCAAUCUUAGUGGCGAACGGGUGAGUCACGCGUAAUCAACCUGCCCUUCAGAGGGGGACAACAGUUGGAAACGACUGCUAAUACCGCAUACGAUCUAAUCUCGGCAUCGAGGAAAGAUGAAAGGUGGCCUCUAUUUAUAAGCUAUCACUGAAGGAGGGGAUUGCGUCUGAUUAGCUAGUUGGAGGGGUAACGGCCCACCAAGGCGAUGAUCAGUAGCCGGUCUGAGAGGAUGGACGGCCACAUUGGGACUGAGACACGGCCCAGACUCCAACGGGAGGCAGCAGUGGGGAAUCUUCCGCAAUGGACGAAAGUCUGACGGAGCAACGCCGCGUGAGUGAUGACGGCCUUCGGGUUGUAAAGCUCUGUUAAUCGGGACGAAAGGACUUCUUGCGAACAGUUAGAAGGAUUGACGGUACCGGAAUAGAAAGCCACGGCUAACUACGUG
RNAcentral lists this ribosomal RNA (510 nucleotides) under uncultured bacterium. RNAcentral's name for it is "partial 16S ribosomal RNA". It matches the Rfam family "Bacterial small subunit ribosomal RNA", at positions 28 to 507 of the family's 1533-position model. The record is from RNAcentral.